Molecule: long non-coding RNA, 325 nt
Filed under: Dasypus novemcinctus (nine-banded armadillo)
Lineage: Eukaryota; Metazoa; Chordata; Mammalia; Cingulata; Dasypodidae
Description: lncRNA (ENSDNOG00000052605.1)
Source: RNAcentral
GGCGCCUUUGUGGCCGGCCCCGAAGUGCGCGGCGACAAUGGCCGGGGUGACGGGGGUUAAUUCGCGCGCUGAGCCCACCUCUCUCCCCAGCUGCCCUUCUGUCAUCUCCACGUGGCCCCCCUCGGCCGGCAGCCCAGCCCCAGAACUCCAGAGGGAGCUCGAGAGAGGGUCACGGUAGGUUUCCCUGCUCUGGGGGCGUGCAGAAGGGUGGGGGCCGCGGGGUGGGGGGCUGGAGGGGGGGAGCGCGGGUGGAGGGGACGGGGGGUGGGUGUCAGAGUCUAUAAAUCACGCCCCACUGCGCUCCUGUUUAACACACACUUCUCCG